CCUACGGGAGGCAGCAGUGGGGAAUAUUGGGCAAUGGACGCAAGUCUGACCCAGCAACGCCGCGUGAAGGAUGAAGGCUUUCGGGUUGUAAACUUCUUUUAAGGGGGAAGAGCAGAAGACGGUACCCCUUGAAUAAGCCACGGCUAACUACGUGCCAGCAGCCGCGGUAAUACGUAGGUGGCAAGCGUUGUCCGGAUUUACUGGGUGUAAAGGGCGUGCAGCCGGAGAGACAAGUCAGAUGUGAAAUCCACGGGCUCAACCCGUGAACUGCAUUUGAAACUGUUUCACUUGAGUGUCGGAGAGGUAAUCGGAAUUCCUUGUGUAGCGGUGAAAUGCGUAGAUAUAAGGAAGAACACCAGUGGCGAAGGCAGAUUACUGGACGAUAACUGACGGUGAGGCGCGAAAGCGUGGGUAUCAAACAGGAUUAGAUACCCUGGUAGUC
This 442-nucleotide ribosomal RNA is filed under the name uncultured bacterium. Its description in RNAcentral is "partial 16S ribosomal RNA". It matches the Rfam family "Bacterial small subunit ribosomal RNA", at positions 338 to 795 of the family's 1533-position model. The record is from RNAcentral.